UUCUUGGGAAUAGGUUUACAUUCAACCACCAACCAACCACCACCAUUCAGCUGCUCUCUUCUUCUCGUAUUACUUGCAGAAAUCUGCAGAAAGAAAUGCUGUUUACGAAAUCCAAUAUCCAACAAACCAACCAGCCCGACUCCGGCCUUGUUUUUUAUCCCGAUGAUGAUGAUGACAAUUGUGUUUAAAUAAGGAAGCAAAGAAAGUAAACGGAGAUGUCGAGCGAGCAGCCCGUAGUAAGUAAUACGAGAAUAACCAACUUGUGAAUCUGAUACCUGAUUAGAUUUCAGUCUCAGGCAGCAGAAAUUUAGCAACCCUUUUUGCUAUGUACAUACUGGACUGGUUACUUUUUGUGCUAACCUAGCUAGAAAAGCCGAGUGCACGCAAAAAAAGUCGGUUUUUCUUGUGUCUUGCAUUUACCAUUUGAUAAUGAGUACAAGAAGAAGAGAGAGCGGAAGUGGUGUGGUCUUUUCCCACUACAUCAGCAGCAGAUGAGAUACGUAUGAUGAUCACUAUUUGUUCGAGAAAGGGUCGUCCCACCAGACCAGACAAGCUCCAGUAAAGUUCCGGUUUCAUUCAACAAUUUUUAAACCCAACCAAAAUAGCAGGAAGCAGGAAGUUGGUUGGUUGUGCAAGUAAGUAAGGGACACACUCACUCACUGACUAAUAACACAAAUAAACUAACUAAACCCUGACGUAUCUAGUAGGAAUUUUCUACUGCUCCUGGUGAUUUUGGAAUUUCCCUUUAAAAAAGUCUAUGAAUCUUUACGGAAUAAUAACUCGAGAGAUACAUACGUAGAUUUUACUAUUCCAUUAUUAAAGCAAAGAAGGAAAAGUAUAAUGGAUGGAUUGGAUGGACGUAGAAACGUACGAACUGCACACACAGCGUGAUCUUUAAGUGGUUUUAGCUGGGCUUAAUUGCUUCUCUUCCCCUCUUCUCCAACGCCACGAUGCUUACACGUACAUCUACACGAUACGAUACCAUCUGCUGAGGAGUUUGUAUGAGUGCAUGAAAAAAAGACGAGGAUAAAUGCAUCCUUUAAAGGAAGGGUUUAAGCGAAAGGGUUGAACUCUUACUGCGUUACAUUACACCACGUUUUGUGCCGUGAUGCUUAAUAUAUAUAAAGUGAAGUAAGUACUUACUUACUUACUAUGAGGUGUAGUAAAUAAUGUAGUGUUGUGUAGCUCGUGGGAGAAAGAAUUCAUGGACGAGGAAUAGAAUAAUAGGAUGCAUAGAUAGAUACAAGAAUAAGAAAAUGUACUUGGUUACUACCGGAAUGGAAUAUCCAUCCAGGUCCUCAUCCUGCUGCCACAAAUAUCUUUAUAUGAAUGUACAUAGUUUAGUUGAAGAUGCUCUGCUUUCUCAUGAAAAAGUUGAGAAUGAUUCGUAUCAUUUAUUCAUAUAAAUUGCCUUCCUAUGUGAAUGUGUCGCUUUUAUGACAUGAAACUUUUAGCAUGCCUUUAUGACAUUUGUAAGAAGAAUUGCCAACCUGGAAAUCUGACACGAUCCGUAAAAAGAUAUAUGACUUUCAAAUAAUCGUGGAAACCAAAAACUGGUAAUCUAACCGUUGAUUCGUACAUUUUACGAUGUGUGUGAGAAUGAGUUGAUCGGUGGGAAGCAACGACUAAUUAAUUAAAUCCCGUCCCGUCCCAACUAACAAUUAGAACUUACAUUUUUCCAAGUUCGAGAUAAAACUUUAUUAUUUUUAUGCAACAUGUUUGAAUUACAAUAAAAUAACUAGAAUUUCAAUGUUUCUUUUAAAUAUUAUGACAGAAAUUCGUUUCUUGCUUAAAACUACCGGAUAUCAAGUUUAACCAGCAUUCAUUAAAUGUAUUGUUUGAGUAGGAGAAUAAAUUCAUUCCGCAUUGUGUAUUAGCGGCCGAAAUAUCUACUGAUCUGUAUAAAAAUGUUAUAUCAUAAUAAUAUG
Long non-coding RNA from Folsomia candida, 1928 nucleotides. RefSeq lists it as uncharacterized. The record is from RefSeq and is a predicted model, not a curated record. The transcript is spliced from 2 exons. NCBI's taxonomy places the organism in Eukaryota, Metazoa, Arthropoda, Collembola, Entomobryomorpha, Isotomidae.